This is an RNA transcript of Piliocolobus tephrosceles (Ugandan red Colobus), 2357 nucleotides long. It is a transcript of the gene named triggering receptor expressed on myeloid cells 2, with no coding region annotated. The transcript is spliced from 5 exons. NCBI's taxonomy places the organism in Eukaryota, Metazoa, Chordata, Mammalia, Primates, Cercopithecidae. The record is from RefSeq and is a predicted model, not a curated record.
UGGGGCCAGAGGAGCCCAGCAGGAGCUACAGAGGACAGGCUGAGGCUUUUCCAGGCCCAGAUAUAGACCCUGCAGCUGGAGGGGGUCAUAUAGGCCAAGGCGUCCCGCUUCCUCACCGGCCUCCUGCUUCCUCAAGGGAGGCUUUGCCUUCCUCAGCAAUUCAUCCCCAGGGCCAGAUCCUGCCAGCCCUGGUUCCCGCUCCCCAGGGGUUCCCCGUUCCCUCACUUUCCUCCCACCAUCCCGGCUCAAGAAGAGGACCCAUGACCUUGGAGGCCACACACCCGCUGUUGAGAGUCCUGCUGGUACUCCUGGCCUCAGGCAAGGGUGAAUCCUACCAUGUUUAUGAUGACGUCCAAAAGGAGAAAACCACUGUGAUUCAAGGGAAAGACAAGAUCUUGCACAAGGCACUCUGCAUCUGCCCUUGGCCAGGGAAGGGUGGCAUGGAGCCUCUCCGGCUGCUCAUCUUACUCUUUGCCACAGAACUGUCUGGAGCCCACAACACCACAGUGUUCCAGGGCGUGGAGGGCCAGUCCCUGCAGGUGUCCUGCCCCUAUGACUCCAUGAAGCACUGGGGGAGGCGCAAGGCCUGGUGCCGCCAGCUGGGCGAGAAGGGCCCAUGCCAGCGUGUGGUCAGCACGCACAAUUUGUGGCUGCUGUCCUUCCUGAGGAGGCGGAAUGGGAGCACAGCCAUCACAGAUGAUACCCUGGGCGGCACUCUCACCAUUACACUGCGGAAUCUACAACCCCACGAUGCGGGCCUCUACCAGUGCCAAAGCCUCCAUGGCAGUGAGGCUGACACCCUCAGGAAGGUCCUGGUGGAGGUGCUGGCAGGUGAGUGGGCAGUGGCUGCCUCUCUGGCCUGCCCCUGUUCCAAGCCUCAUGUUUUGGGCGUCUGUGUGCAGAACCACCCACUGGGCUCUCAGGAAUCCUGGGAAAACCCAUCGUGUGGGUCUCAUCUCCCUACUCAGGGCUACCAAGGAUUGUUGUGCAGGUUGCUCACUGCACAAGAGGGCCAAAAUCCAGCCCUCAGCCUGGACUCCUUUUGCCAGACUGUGUUCCCUGGUGCAGAGCUGCAUCACCUGCAAGAAGGGCACCUUUCUCUACUUUGCAUUAAGGCACUCCGUGAACUAGCCUGGCCUUGGCCCUGCUUGCCCAAACAGCUUUAUCCAUCUCCAUCCAGUUAGCAUGUGAACAUCAUGGGAGGUCCUUAAGGAGGAGGAGGAGAUUAAUUUAUUCCCUCACCAACCGACCAAUGGUCCUAUCAACGUAAGUGAAGCACCAACCCGGUACAGAAAAUCACCCCUAGAAAAGUACACUGCUUGUGCUGGGCAAUGUGCUUCACUUCUCUGGGCCUCCAUUCUCUCAUCUGUAAAUGGAGAGGGUGGUGUCUGUCCUGCUGACCCCACAGGGUUCCGGUGAGUUUUUGUUGUGGGGGAGGGCAGUUGGGGGCAGGGUGUGACAUGUGCUCCAAGCCUCCUGCUACCGAACUGCCUUGGGAUCGCCACUGCAGGUGGGAGUAGGUGGGCCAGGGUGUCUCUUUCCAUCCCUGAGCUUUGCGCAGGGACCACCCUCCAAGAAGGCCUUCUGCUUGAGUCUUCAGAACACAACUGUGUCCCCAAAGGAGAACAAAUCUGGGGCUACAGAGGCUGUUUCUGACUCUCCUCUUUUCCAACCCCUUCUCCCAGUAUGGCUCUUUACCAUGGAAAUGAGGUCAGGAGUAGUAUUUGCCUGACGUGGGGAGGUCAGGCGAGACUGCCAGCCCUAGACACAAACCCCACCUCCACCACUUUUCUAAGGAUGGCAGGUGGCAGUGAACUCCCUUAACCAACUCCCAAGAGGGAGACAGAAAAAUAAAAGUAACCCAUAGCUUGUGUAGAUAGAUUGACAGUUUAGAUAGGAUUUUCAAGUACAUCCACGAUUGCAUUCGCUCUUCUUAGCCCCUGUGCAGAAGGAGUGGGGAGUUGCAGUUACCGAGCUCCGACAUGGUGCUACACACUGCCCAGAGGUGCCCUCAUGGAAUCCUGGUAACCCUGCUAUUAAGAAAGUAUUCCUAACUGCCCACUUUAUAAGUGGGGAAAUUGAGGCUUAUGGAGUGUAAUGACUUGAUCCACAUAGGACCAGUGCCCAGGCGACCUCACCCCACCCAUAAAGGUUCUCCCCCUGCCUUGAGGAGGAAGGGGCUGGAGGCUCAUGGCUUUGCCUCCCAUAGACCCGCUGGAUCACCGGGAUGCUGGAGAUCUCUGGGUCCCCGGGGAGUCUGAGAGCUUCGAGGAUGCCCAUGUGGAGCACAGCAUCUCCAGGAGCCUCUUGGAAGGAGAAAUCCCCUUCCCACCCACUUCCAUCCUUCUCCUCCUGGC